Molecule: ribosomal RNA, 478 nt
Filed under: uncultured bacterium
Lineage: Bacteria
Description: partial 16S ribosomal RNA
Rfam family: Bacterial small subunit ribosomal RNA
Source: RNAcentral
GACGAACGCUGGCGGCGUGCUUAACACAUGCAAGUCGAACGGUAAGGCCCUUCGGGGUACACGAGUGGCGAACGGGUGAGUAACACGUGGGUGAUCUGCCCUGCACUUCGGGAUAAGCCUGGGAAACUGGGUCUAAUACCGGAUAGGACCACUGCCUGCAUGGGUGGUGGUGGAAAGCUUUUGCGGUGUGGGAUGGGCCCACGGCCUAUCAGCUUGUUGGUGGGGUGAUGGCCUACCAAGGGGACGACGGGUAGCCGGCCUGAGAGGGUGAACGGCCACACUGGGACUGAGAUACGGCCCAGACUCCUACGGGAGGCAGCAGUGGGGAAUAUUGCACAAUGGGCGCAAGCCUGAUGCAGCGACGCCGCGUGAGGGAUGACGGCCUUCGGGUUGUAAACCUCUUUCAGCACCGACGAAGCGCAAGUGACGGUAGGUGCAGAAGAAGGACCGGCCAACUACGUGCCAGCCGCCGCGGUAA